RNAcentral lists this ribosomal RNA (459 nucleotides) under uncultured bacterium. Its description in RNAcentral is "partial 16S ribosomal RNA". It matches the Rfam family "Bacterial small subunit ribosomal RNA", at positions 338 to 795 of the family's 1533-position model. The record is from RNAcentral.
CCUACGGGAGGCUGCAGUGAGGAAUAUUGGUCAAUGGGCGGGAGCCUGAACCAGCCAAGCCGCGUGAGGGAAGAAGGUACAGCGUAUCGUAAACCUCUUUUGUCAGGGAACAAAGGCGGGGACUAGUCCCCGGAUGAGGGUACCCGAAGAAAAAGCAUCGGCUAACUCCGUGCCAGCAGCCGCGGUAAUACGGGGGAUGCGAGCGUUAUCCGGAUUUAUUGGGUUUAAAGGGUGCGCAGGCGGCCUGUUAAGUCAGCGGUAAAAGUUCAGGGCUCAACCCUGUCGAGCCGUCGGAACUGGCAGCCUUGAGUGGGCGAGAGGUAUGCGGAAUGCGUGGUGUAGCGGUGAAAUGCAUAGAUAUCGCGCAGAACGCCGAUUGCGAAGGCAGCAUGCCGGCGCCCGACUGACGCUGAGGCACGAAAGCGUGGGGAUCGAACAGGAUUAGAUACCCCUGUAGUC